Molecule: long non-coding RNA, 686 nt
Filed under: Sinocyclocheilus anshuiensis
Lineage: Eukaryota; Metazoa; Chordata; Actinopteri; Cypriniformes; Cyprinidae
Description: lncRNA (ENSSANG00000031691.1)
Source: RNAcentral
CAAGAAGAAAAACCUUGAAUAUACAUACUAUAAUAACUUAACAUCUGUUUCUCUGGGAAAUAAAGAGACCCUGGUGUUACAUAAUGUGCAGUCUUCAGACUCUGGAGAAUAUAAAUGCUACCUGGCUGCAGAGGUUGGAGGUCGAAAUGACCAUUCUUUAAUUGGAUUGAACAUCUCAGAAUGUUUAAAUAUGAGCACAGUUUAUCCCAUCACCACCACGAUCCCAGCUGAUUCCUGUCCUGUUGUAGCAGAAUUAACUGUUCCCUGGGCUGUCAUUGGCUUUUCUCUUAUCAGCAUGACCAAAGUCAUUCUUUGCAUUAUAACUGUGGGGGUGUGUGAUCGAGUCAUAUUUAGAACACUAAGAAGAAAACAGGAAGUAAGGGGAAGCAAGACUGGAAGGUCAAGCUGGAAAGAUUGAGGUUCACAAAAAGCUGAUGGUCAUUUUAGUUUUACACAUCCAUUAGCCAAGUUAAAACAGUCCAAGCCUGUAAACAUUUACAGGGUUGUUCGCACCAUUAGGUUGUUUUGAUAGGAUCCGUUUUUAUUUCUGUGUGGUUUUGCUAUUCUUAUACUUUUUAUGGUCUAUUCCUAGAGAGACAGGCUAUAAUGGGGGCUGUUCUAUAGCUGUUGAGGGAGAGGAGAGUCAUGGAGGGUUGCAGUUUAUUAGGCCUGUGCCACAGCUGCAC